This 459-nucleotide ribosomal RNA is filed under the name uncultured bacterium. Its description in RNAcentral is "partial 16S ribosomal RNA". It matches the Rfam family "Bacterial small subunit ribosomal RNA", at positions 338 to 795 of the family's 1533-position model. The record is from RNAcentral.
CCUACGGGAGACAGCAGUGAGGAAUAUUGGUCAAUGGUCGGGAGACUGAACCAGCCAAGCCGCGUGAGGGAGGAAGGUACAGAGUAUCGUAAACCUCUUUUGUCAGGGAACAAAGGCGGGGACGUGUCCCCGGAUGAGUGUACCUGAAGAAAAAGCAUCGGCUAACUCCGUGCCAGCAGCCGCGGUAAUACGGAGGAUGCGAGCGUUAUCCGGAUUUAUUGGGUUUAAAGGGUGCGCAGGCGGUCUGUUAAGUCAGCGGUCAAAGCCCGGGGCUCAACCCCGGCCCGCCGUUGAAACUGGCAGGCUCGAGUUGGAGAGAAGUAUGCGGAAUGCGCGGUGUAGCGGUGAAAUGCAUAGAUAUCGCGCAGAACUCCGAUUGCGAAGGCAGCAUGCCGGCUCCAAACUGACGCUGAGGCACUAAAGCGUGGGUAUCGAACAGGAUUAGAUACCCCUGUAGUC